This 460-nucleotide ribosomal RNA is filed under the name uncultured bacterium. RNAcentral's name for it is "partial 16S ribosomal RNA". It matches the Rfam family "Bacterial small subunit ribosomal RNA", at positions 338 to 795 of the family's 1533-position model. The record is from RNAcentral.
CCUACGGGAGGCAGCAGUGAGGAAUAUUGGUCAAUGGACGAGAGUCUGAACCAGCCUAGUAGCGUGAAGGAUGACUGCCCUAUGGGUUGUAAACUUCUUUUAUAAAGGAAUAAAACGAGGCACGUGUGCCUUUUUGCAUGUACUUUAUGAAUAAGGAUCGGCUAACUCCGUGCCAGCAGCCGCGGUAAUACGGAGGAUCCGAGCGUUAUCCGGAUUUAUUGGGUUUAAAGGGAGCGUAGAUGGGUUGUUAAGUCAGUUGUGAAAGUUUGGGGCUCAACCGUAAAAUUGCAAUUGAUACUGGCAGUCUUGAGUACAGUUGAGGUAGGCGGAAUGUAUGGUGUAGCGGUGAAAUGCUUAGAGAUCAUACAGAACACCGAUUGCGAAGGCAGCUUACUAAACUGCCACUGACAUUGAUGCUCGAAAGUGUGGGUAUCAAACAGGAUUAGAUAUCCCAGUAGUC